AGUGAACGCUGGCGGUAGGCCUAACACAUGCAAGUCGAACGGCAGCACAGUAAGAGCUUGCUCUUACGGGUGGCGAGUGGCGGACGGGUGAGGAAUACAUCGGAAUCUACUUUUUCGUGGGGGAUAACGUAGGGAAACUUACGCUAAUACCGCAUACGACCUACGGGUGAAAGCAGGGGAUCUUCGGACCUUGCGCGAUUGAAUGAGCCGAUGUCGGAUUAGCUAGUUGGCGGGGUAAAGGCCCACCAAGUCGACGAUCCGUAGCUGGUCUGAGAGGAUGAUCAGCCACACUGGAACUGAGACACGGUCCAGACUACUACGAGAGGCAGCAGUGGGGAAUAUUGGACAAUGGGCGCAAGCCUGAUCCAGCCAUACCGCGUGGGUGAAGAAGGCCUUCGGGUUGUAAAGCCGUUUUGUUGGGAAAGAAAAGCAGCAGGUUAAUACCCCGCUGUUCUGACGGUACCCAAAGAAUAAGCACCGGCUAACUUCGUG
RNAcentral lists this ribosomal RNA (492 nucleotides) under uncultured bacterium. RNAcentral's name for it is "partial 16S ribosomal RNA". It matches the Rfam family "Bacterial small subunit ribosomal RNA", at positions 29 to 507 of the family's 1533-position model. The record is from RNAcentral.